GAGAGAGAGAGAGUGUUCAAUGUUAGGUGGGUUUGAAUCUUCUCUCACACAAAAGCGCUCUCUCUCUCUCUCUCUCUCUCAACUCACGGCACACCUCUCUCUACUCUCUCUCUCGAAAUCUCACCUCAAAACUCGAAACUCACAUUGAUCCACCUCCCUCUCACCUCAUCCACGCGAUCUAGAUCUUGAAAUUCGUCGGUUUGAGCUUGGGGUGCGAGUAUUUUGGUUGAAUCAAGCUUUGAAGUUCUAGGGUUUGAUUGAGCUUGGAUUUGUGCUUCCAAUUCUUGAGGCAAUAAUCAAGGACAAUGACAUGGGGUGAUGUGCAUGCAUUCGACCAUACUUUUGAAAGCUCAUAUGGAAGAAUUACUUUUGCAGCUCUAGCAUAUCAUAUUUUGAAAAUGUAAUCAUAACUUUAAUUACAUUCUUUUGAUAAUGGAUUAGUAUAAACGCAAAAGUCACUUCCUUAUCGUAAGCUUAUGCUUAUUUGGGCCGUUGUGCUAUUGGUGUAAUAUUUUAGAAUUGCUGGAGUUUGAAUUGUAAUUAUGAUGGUAUGAAAAUGAUAAACUCUUUUG
Molecule: long non-coding RNA, 572 nt
Organism: Rhododendron vialii
Lineage: Eukaryota; Viridiplantae; Streptophyta; Magnoliopsida; Ericales; Ericaceae
Exons: 2
Source: RefSeq, a predicted model, not a curated record